This 339-nucleotide unclassified non-coding RNA is filed under the name soil metagenome. RNAcentral's name for it is "partial contains 5.8S ribosomal RNA, internal transcribed spacer 2, and large subunit ribosomal RNA". The stretch from base 1 to 120 matches the Rfam family "5.8S ribosomal RNA", at positions 35 to 154 of the family's 154-position model. The record is from RNAcentral.
GAUGAAGAACGUAGCGAAAUGCGAUACGUAGUGUAAAUUGCAGAAUUCAGUGAAUCAUCGAAUCUUUGAACGCACAUUGCACCUCUCGGUAUUCCGGGAGGUAUGCCUGUUCGAGCGUCAUUUGUACCCUCAAGCUCUGCUUGGUGUUGGGUGUUUGUUCCGCCUCUGUGUGUGAACUCGCCUCAAAACAAUUGGCAGCCGGCGUACUUGUUUCGGAGCGCAGCACAUUUUGCGAUCCAGAUCAACGUACAGCGGCAUCCAAGAAGCCUUAUUUAACGCUCUUGACCUCGGAUCAGGUAGGGAUACCCGCUGAACUUAAGCAUAUCAAUAAGCGGAGGA